Molecule: ribosomal RNA, 253 nt
Filed under: uncultured bacterium
Lineage: Bacteria
Description: partial 16S ribosomal RNA
Rfam family: Bacterial small subunit ribosomal RNA
Source: RNAcentral
UACGGAGGGGGCGAGCGUUGUCCGAAGUUACUGGGCGUAAAGGGCGCGUAGGCGGGGUGUCACGUCCGCUGUGAAAGCCUGGAGCUUAACUCCAGCGGGUCGGUGGAUACGGACACUCUUGAAGGCAUUAGGGGAAGAUGGAAUUACCCAUGGAGCGGUGAAAUGCGUAGAGAUGGGUAGGAACACCGGUGGCGAAGGCGACACGCUGGGCCGUACCUGACACUGAUGCGCGACAGCAUGGGGAGCAAACAGG